This 753-nucleotide ribosomal RNA is filed under the name Trentepohliaceae sp. Kukwa 19398. RNAcentral's name for it is "SSU rRNA". It matches the Rfam family "Eukaryotic small subunit ribosomal RNA", at positions 284 to 1046 of the family's 1831-position model. The record is from RNAcentral. Lineage: Eukaryota; Viridiplantae; Chlorophyta; Ulvophyceae; Trentepohliales; Trentepohliaceae.
CCGGCGAUGUUUCAUUCAAAUUUCUGCCCUAUCAACUUUCGACGGUAGGGUAGUGGCCUACCGUGGUGGUAACGGGUGACGGAGGAUUAGGGUUCGAUUCCGGAGAGGGAGCCUGAGAAACGGCUACCACAUCCAAGGAAGGCAGCAGGCGCGCAAAUUACCCAAAUCCCAACUCGGGGAGGUAGUGACAAGAAAUAACGAUGCUCCGGCCAUCGGUCGGGUAAUCGGAAUGAGAACAAUUUAAAUCCCUUAUCGAGGAUCAAUUGGAGGGCAAGUCUGGUGCCAGCAGCCGCGGUAAUUCCAGCUCCAAUAGCGUAUAUUUAAGUUGCUGCGGUUAAAAAGCUCGUAGUCGGAUUUCGGGUGGCGCCUACCGGUCCGCCUUUGGUGAGUACUGGUAGGUACCACCUUUCUGCCGAGGACGGGGUACUGGGCUUAGUUGUCUGGGCCUCGGAGUCGGCGAUGUCACUUUGAGUAAAUUAGGGUGUUCAAAGCAGGCUUAUGCUCUGUAUACACUAGCAUGGGAUGACACGAUAGGACUUCGGUUUAUCUUGUCGGUCUGUAGAUCGGAGUAAUGAUUAAGAGGGACAGUCGGGGGCAUUCGUAUUUCGUAGUCAGAGGUGAAAUUCUUGGAUUUACGGAAGACGAACUUCUGCGAAAGCAUUUGCCAAGGAUGUUUUCAUUGAUCAAGAACGAAAGUCGGGGGCUCGAAGACGAUUAGAUACCGUCGUAGUCUCGACCAUAAACGAUGCCGAC